UACGGAGGGUGCAAGCGUUAUCCGGAUUCACUGGGUUUAAAGGGUGCGUAGGCGGGCAAUUAAGUCAGUGGUGAAAUCUUGGGGCUCAACCCCGAAACUGCCAUUGAUACUAUUUGUCUUGAAUACUGUGGAGGUCAGCGGAAUAUGUCAUGUAGCGGUGAAAUGCUUAGAUAUGACAUAGAACACCGAUUGCGAAGGCAGCUGGCUACACAAGCAUUGACGCUGAGGCACGAAAGCGUGGGGAUCAAACAGG
RNAcentral lists this ribosomal RNA (253 nucleotides) under uncultured bacterium. Its description in RNAcentral is "partial 16S ribosomal RNA". It matches the Rfam family "Bacterial small subunit ribosomal RNA", at positions 524 to 776 of the family's 1533-position model. The record is from RNAcentral.